UACCUAGGAAGGAAGAAAUGGUUUUGAAAUUUAUUAAGGAUACUGUUUUUCUCUUCAUGACUAUGGUUGGCACUCUGGGGAACAUUUCUGUUUCUGUGAAUUAUAUGUUCAGUUGGUGGAGAGGCCCUGAGAAGAAACCCAUACACCUUAUUCUCAUCCACUUGGCUUUUACAAACAUCAUACUCCUCCUUGCAAAAGGAUUGCCAAAGACAAUAGCAGCUUUUGGUUUGAGAAACUUCCUAGAUGACAUAGGCUGUAAGAUCAUCGUUUACCUGUCAAGGGUGGCCCGUGGCCUCUCCAUCUGCACCAGCAGUCUCCUCACUGUGGUCCAGGCCAUCAUCAUCAGUCCCAGAGCAUCUGGGUGGAGGAGGCUCAGACCAAAGUCUUCAUGUCACAUCCUUCCAUUCUUUUCAUUCUUUUGGAUACUCAAUGCUUUAAUAAGUGUGAACUUAAUCCACUCCAUCACAAGUAUAAACCUGAAUAUGUCACAGCUUGAAAAUGGUGACAACCAUUGUUAUUUUAUGCUAGAAAGUCAGAAAACAAAGUGGCUUGUUCUCCCUCUCAUGGUCCUGAGAGAUGCAGUGUUUCAGGGAGCCAUGGGAGGGGCCAGUGGCUACAUGGUAUCUCUUCUCCACAAGCACCACCAGCAUGUCCUCUACCUUCAGAAGGCCAAGCUUCUCUACAGAACUCCCCCUGAGCUGAGAGCUGCCCAGAGUGUCCUCCUUCUAAUGCUCUGUUUUGUUUUCUUCUACUGGACUGACUGUGCUUUUUCUCUAGUUUUAAGUUUCUCUUUAGUGGAUAAUUCCUUGAUUAUAAAUACUCAAGAAUUUAUGACCCUUGGUUAUGCAACUUUUAGCCCUCUUGUGCUGAUUCACAGGGAUGAACUUCUGCCUGAGUGUUGGCAUGCUCAGUGGGAGAAAUUGAAAAAAUGUCUCUCUCGUGUAGCUGUUCAGUGAGUGUGAAAGAGCUCUCGGUUCUGCAGUAUUGUGGGGAAUACAAAAUCCCACAAAGCAGUUCAAGCAUGUGUUUAUUCUCAGAAAUCUCCCUGGUGAUUGACCACCUUGAGCUGAUUGAUGAGAGAGAGAGAUCUUAGCAAAUUACACUGAUAAAUGAAACCUCAUUCUCUGUAUUUCCACCCUUUUGAAAGGAUUUUAUUUUUUCUACUUGUCUAUAUUUGUAUUCAUUUAUUGUGUAUGAAUAGUUUGCAUGCAUUUAUGUCUGUGUAGCAAAUGCCUGCCUGGAGCCUGCAGCUGCUGGAAGAGACCAUCAAAUGCCCUGUGACUGACUGGGGUUGAACAGAUGGCUCUGAAACAAAAUUUGCCUGCUAGAAACUGAGCCCGGCUGGUCUUCUAGAGCACCCCUAACUCCCGAGCCCGGCUGGUCUUCUAGAGCACCCCUAACUCCCAAGCUCUCUCACCAGCACCUUAAUUAGGAUUUGUAGAAUUCACGUUACUACUACCGUGACCGGGAGCAUUCAGGUGAAUUUGGUAAAUUUUAUCAAAAUUCAUAGUGAUUUAAUCAUGUUAGUCCAAGAAAUCUGUUUUCUUGUACCUGACACUGUGCUUACUAGGUGGUACCACGAUGCUCUUUGGGGAUACUUCCAAGUGUCUGUAACUAUCCGUCCAUAGAGAAGAUGUUAUAGAAUUGGGAAAGAAGGACGUGCACUCUGCAUUCAGUUCAUAGAAGCCCCACGCCCCAGUCACAGACAUUAAACGCCCUGAAGCAUUUCAUUGGUGGUCUGUUCAUGAAGGUUCUCUGCAGGAAUAAAGAUGGCAGAUGUGGGAUAAACUAGAAAACAAAUACACAGUGGAGUUUCCUGUUAUAUCGUCUGCAGUUUCUGUGCUGAUGAAAAGGUAUGGAUUUGCCUUUUUGCAAUGAACUAGUCACGUGACUGAAGCCG
This is an RNA transcript of Peromyscus leucopus (white-footed mouse), 1900 nucleotides long. It is a transcript of the gene named vomeronasal type-1 receptor 4-like, with no coding region annotated. NCBI's taxonomy places the organism in Eukaryota, Metazoa, Chordata, Mammalia, Rodentia, Cricetidae. The record is from RefSeq and is a predicted model, not a curated record. The transcript has a single exon.